This 256-nucleotide ribosomal RNA is filed under the name uncultured bacterium. RNAcentral's name for it is "partial 16S ribosomal RNA". It matches the Rfam family "Bacterial small subunit ribosomal RNA", at positions 524 to 776 of the family's 1533-position model. The record is from RNAcentral.
UACGUAGGGUGCGAGCGUUUGUCCGGAAUUACUGGGCGUAAAGAGCUCGUAGGUGGUUUGUCGCGUUGUUCGUGAAAACCGGGGGCUUAACCCUCGGCGUGCGGGCGAUACGGGCAGACGUUGAGUACUGCAGGGGAGGACUGGAAUUCCUGGUGUAGCGGUGGAAUGCGCAGAUAUCAGGAGGAACACCGGUGGCGAAGGCGGGUCUCUGGGCAGUAACUGACGCUGAGGAGCGAAAGCGUGGGGAGCGAACAGG